GGAGAAGGGGAGGGAUGACGAGAUGGAAGCCAAGAAAAGGCAGUAUCUAGGAUGAAAGUGGCAACAGAGAGAAGGGAGGGCAUGACAUAACAAAGGUAAGGACAUGUCAAGAAAGAAUGUCUUAGUUGGUAAGAAAUGAGCAGGUAACAAAGAAAGGCUGGAACCCAGCAUAGCAACCAAGGCUCACAUGCAAAACAGAAGGAAACUGCAACACCAGUGAAGAUCACCAUCUCCUCGGUUCAUCCUACCUCAUAGCUGCGCCUAUCCUGGGAGAUUUUAUUUCACCCUGAUGGCAAAAUGGUCAAUAAAAGUCUCUGUGUCUCUUGCUCUCGUGCUCCCCCUUCUCUCUCACCGAGACUAUGACCUAGCAGCUUGGAGACUGAACUGCAACAUCAGGAAUGGAAAAGAAAGCUGGAGUGGCAACAGCAAUGUCAUGUUCAGAGGACAAGGCUCAGGGAUCUUCAUUUCUGCUUCAUGCUUGAUCUGGGGCACCACAUUCUAUUUGCAACCCUACCUCAGUGUUUCCCACCCCCAGCUUUCACCCUGGAGCCUUCAACAGAGGCAGAGAGGAGAGGAAGAGAAAGGAUCACAGGUUCUCUGUGGAAUGUGAAUUACAUUGUCAACUUCCUUUAUACUUUCUGAUUCUAACUAUUCACUGGGAAAUACCACUGACCAGCUCAAAGGAUUUACUGCCCUUUUCUUCACCUCGCUACUAAAAAGUAUCAAGUUUAAAUUAUUAUAGCUUUCCAUUAGCUUCUGUUUUCUUAAUUAAGAGAAUCUGGGCUCCCCCCAUUCCUAAAUUAUAGAGAAAUGGG
Non-coding RNA from Microcebus murinus (gray mouse lemur), 815 nucleotides. The record is from RefSeq and is a predicted model, not a curated record. Lineage: Eukaryota; Metazoa; Chordata; Mammalia; Primates; Cheirogaleidae.